Molecule: unclassified non-coding RNA, 378 nt
Filed under: uncultured Parachlamydiaceae bacterium
Lineage: Bacteria; Pseudomonadati; Chlamydiota; Chlamydiia; Parachlamydiales; Parachlamydiaceae
Description: contains 16S-23S intergenic spacer region
Source: RNAcentral
UCCCGGUUAACCCGGGCAGUCUCGUUAGAGUUCCCACCAUUACGUGUUGGCAACUAACAAUAAGGGUUGCGCUCGUUGCGGGACUUAACCCAACACCUCACGGCACGAGCUGACGACAGCCAUGCAGCACCUGUGUAAAGGCCCCGAAGGGAGACGCUAUCUCUAGCGCUGUCCUCUACAUGUCAAACCUGGGUAAGGUUCUUCGCGUUGCAUCGAAUUAAACCACAUGCUCCACUGCUUGUGCGGGUCCCCGUCAAUUCUUUUGAGUUUCACCCUUGCGAGCGUACUCCCCAGGCGGUAUACUUAUCGCGUUGGCUUCGGCACAACUGGGGUUGAGUCCAGUUACACCAAGUAUACAUAGUUUACGGCAAGGACUAC